UCAGCCGGCCGGACGGCCGCUCCCGCAAGGAUCGAAAGGUCGCGGGGGAGGAAAGUCCGGGCUCCAUCGACAUACGGUGCCGGAUAACACCCGGCGGGGGCGACCCCAGGGAAAGUGCCACAGAGAACGAACCGCCUUCCCCGCCCGCAAGGGUGAGGACGGCAAGGGUGAAAAGGUGCGGUAAGAGCGCACCGCGUCGCUAGCAAUAGGGACGGCAUGGCAAACCCCACCGGGAGCAAAACCGAAUAGGGAUGGCAGCGCGAAAAGUUCGCUCUCGGGCGAUAACUUCGCAGGGCGAUGUCAGGCUCGCCGUCCGGGUAGGUUGCUUGAGGCGCAAGGCGACUUGCGUCCCAGAAGAAUGGCCGUCACGUCGGGCCGGUUCGCGCCGGUCCGGCCCUCCAGAACCCGGCUUACAGGCUGGCUGACGUC
Molecule: RNase P RNA, 429 nt
Filed under: Afipia sp.
Lineage: Bacteria; Pseudomonadati; Pseudomonadota; Alphaproteobacteria; Hyphomicrobiales; Nitrobacteraceae
Also listed under: 1 other name
Description: RNase P RNA component class A
Rfam family: Bacterial RNase P class A
About the family: Ribonuclease P (RNase P) is a ubiquitous endoribonuclease, found in archaea, bacteria and eukarya as well as chloroplasts and mitochondria. Its best characterised activity is the generation of mature 5'-ends of tRNAs by cleaving the 5'-leader elements of precursor-tRNAs. Cellular RNase Ps are ribonucleoproteins.
Source: RNAcentral